UACCCUUGACAUGGCAGGAAUCCCGAAGAGAUUUGGGAGUGCUCGCAAGAGAACCUGCACACAGGUGCUGCAUGGCUGUCGUCAGCUCGUGUCGUGAGAUGUUGGGUUAAGUCCCGCAACGAGCGCAACCCUUGUCAUUAGUUGCUACGAAAGGGCACUCUAAUGAGACUGCCGGUGACAAACCGGAGGAAGGUGGGGAUGACGUCAAGUCCUCAUGGCCCUUAUGGGUAGGGCUUCACACGUCAUACAAUGGUACAUACAGAGGGCCGCCAACCCGCGAGGGGGAGCUAAUCCCAGAAAGUGUAUCGUAGUCCGGAUUGUAGUCUGCAACUCGACUACAUGAAGUUGGAAUCGCUAGUAAUCGCGGAUCAGCAUGUCGCGGUGAAUACGUUCCCGGGUCUUGUACACACCGCCCGUCACACCAUGGGAGCGGGUUCUGCCAGAAGUAGGUAGCUUAACCGCAAGGAGGGCGCUUACCACGGCAGGGUUCGUGACUGGGGUGAAGUCGUAACAAGGUAACC
RNAcentral lists this ribosomal RNA (521 nucleotides) under uncultured bacterium. Its description in RNAcentral is "bacterial SSU rRNA". It matches the Rfam family "Bacterial small subunit ribosomal RNA", at positions 976 to 1501 of the family's 1533-position model. The record is from RNAcentral.